AGCCCCGAAAAAGUCAGGCUGCAAACCUGAGCAAGGCAUUUAGCCCGGGGCUU
This 53-nucleotide transfer RNA is filed under the name Malayopython reticulatus (reticulated python). RNAcentral describes it as "tRNA-Cys". The record is from RNAcentral. Lineage: Eukaryota; Metazoa; Chordata; Lepidosauria; Squamata; Pythonidae.